This 478-nucleotide ribosomal RNA is filed under the name Lingulaulax polyedra. Its description in RNAcentral is "Lingulodinium polyedra partial Bacterial large subunit ribosomal RNA". It matches the Rfam family "Bacterial large subunit ribosomal RNA", at positions 1247 to 1830 of the family's 2925-position model. The record is from RNAcentral. Lineage: Eukaryota; Dinophyceae; Gonyaulacales; Lingulodiniaceae.
UCGAUGAAGCCGGGGCGUGAGCCAUCCGGUGGAGAGAUCACUAGUGAGAAUGAUGACAUGAGUAGCGACAAACAGGGUGAGAGACCCUGUCGCCGAAAGUCCAAGGGUUCCUGCUUAAAGCUAAUCUGAGCAGGGUAAGCCGACCCCUAAGGCGAGGCCGAAAGGCGUAGUCGAUGGGAACCAGGUUAAUAUUCCUGGGCCAGGAGGAUGUGACGGAUCGAGACUGUUGUUCACCCUUAUCGGAUUGGGUGGGCCGCUGAUCGGUUCCUGGAAAUAGCCCUCCAUGAGAUCGUACCCUAAACCGACACAGGUGGACUGGUAGAGAAUACCAAGGCGCUUGAGAGAACGAUGUUGAAGGAACUCGGCAAAAUACCUCCGUAAGUUCGCGAGAAGGAGGCCCGGUUUCUAGGCAACUGGAAGCUGGGGGCACAAACCAGGGGGUGGCGACUGUUUACUAAAAACACAGGGCUCUGCGAAG